This 1273-nucleotide long non-coding RNA is filed under the name Mus pahari (shrew mouse). Its description in RNAcentral is "lncRNA (MGP_PahariEiJ_G0012280.1)". Lineage: Eukaryota; Metazoa; Chordata; Mammalia; Rodentia; Muridae. The record is from RNAcentral.
CUCUACUCGCCCGGAGUCCGCCUGGCGCGCGCAGUACCAGCGGCUCCCCGCGCUCUCGGCCGCCGGGACACUCUCCGCCCCGGACGCCGUCCAGAUCCUGAGAACAGGUGGUCUCGGAGAGAAGCGCGACAGUCGCCUCUCACUCACCCAGAAGAUGAAGUUAAAUCCGAAGAGCAGCUGUGUCCGGGAGGGUUUCACAGCUCUGUUUGGCAGUGGGAGAGUCCCGUGGUUUCUUCCCCUCCUGCCCCUUUAGCAGGAUUGCGGCACCCUUUGCUUUAUGAGCUCCCCUCUGGCUACGCAGGGCUGGAUGUGCCAUUGCUGGCACCCCCACCCACCUUUCCAUCCACCUUUGCUGAGCAAGCCAGGAAAACAGAAUGCCAGACCCCUGGGUGCCCUGACUUGCCCUCUACCUGACAUUUUGGUGCAUGUCUCUGAUUCCCCACUCCACGUUGUCUGCACCCCGGAAUUUCUACUGCUGGAGGCUAUCCUUCACUCACUACCCUUUGGGGUCCACUGAGAGGCUAACUCUCUUUAGCCCUUAGCUUUGUAUCUGCUUCUAAUUUUAAUUUUAAAAUAACUUAUUUAUUCACAUAAUUAAAAAAUGAGGAUGCAAAAGAGUAAAAAGAAAAAUGGGUUCUGGAAACUUAACAUGUAAGACAGACUUAGGAAUCAAAAGGCAAUGUGUGCUUCUCAUUAGACUCCCAGUUCAGAUGGAACAAUUGUUAACUUUUUUUUUUCAGGCAUGUAGGGAGACAUUAAUUAAGAAUUUUGGGGGUUAUGUCUCUGUAGCUUAGGCUUAUCUUGAAGUUGCAAUCCUACUGUCUUGGCCUCUUAAGUAUUGUGGCUACAGGCCUGGCUAGGGAACCCUAAAUAAAGACUAAUCAUUAGCUGAUAUUAGUAAACAUUCUUAUUACUAUUAUUUUGGAAGCAGCAUCUCACUUGCUAUGUAGAGUAGGUUGGCCUGAAACUCUGUCACCUGAUGUUUGCCACCGCUCCAGCCUUAAGGAGCCUUUUGGUUUUGUCAUGUAUGAAGAUGACACUGUCAUUUUCAAGAAAGUCUCGAGCCUCAGAGACACACACUGAGGUGUCUAUAUCCCUGCUUCCAGUUGAAAACCCAGGUCCUGUGUCGAGGCUGGACCAACAAUCAAUCGCUCAGGCUCAGGUGGGCUUUUUGGUGAUGUGGUUGCCUUUGAGUCUUCCAUGGUCCUGAAAGAAACCCCUCACUUAAAGUCCUGUAAUCUACAAUAAUAAACUCUCUGGUUCACUAAGCUGC